GCAGUCGUGGCCGAGUGGUUAAGGCGUCUGACUCGAAAUCAGAUUCCCCCUGGAGCGUAGGUUCGAAUCCUACCGGCUGCG
Molecule: transfer RNA, 81 nt
Filed under: Schistocerca americana (American grasshopper)
Lineage: Eukaryota; Metazoa; Arthropoda; Insecta; Orthoptera; Acrididae
Description: tRNA-Ser
Rfam family: tRNA
About the family: Transfer RNA (tRNA) molecules are approximately 80 nucleotides in length. Their secondary structure includes four short double-helical elements and three loops (D, anti-codon, and T loops).
Source: RNAcentral